RNAcentral lists this ribosomal RNA (540 nucleotides) under uncultured archaeon. Its description in RNAcentral is "bacterial SSU rRNA". It matches the Rfam family "Archaeal small subunit ribosomal RNA", at positions 457 to 997 of the family's 1478-position model. The record is from RNAcentral.
GCCAGCAGCCGCGGUAACACCGGCGGCCCGAGUGGUGAUCGUGAUUAUUGGGUCUAAAGGGUCCGUAGCCGGUUGGUCAGUCCUCCGGGAAAUCUGAUAGCUCAACUAUUAGGCUUUCGGGGGAUACUGCCAGACUUGGAACCGGGAGAGGUAAGAGGUACUACAGGGGUAGGAGUGAAACCUUGUAAUCCCUGUGGGACCACCUGUGGCGAAGGCGUCUUACCAGAACGGGUUCGACGGUGAGGGACGAAAGCUGGGGGCACGAACCGGAUUAGAUACCCGGGUAGUCCCAGCCGUAAACGAUGCUCGCUAGGUGUCAGGCAUGGCGCGACCGUGUCUGGUGCCGCAGGGAAGCCGUGAAGCGAGCCACCUGGGAAGUACGGCCGCAAGGCUGAAACUUAAAGGAAUUGGCGGGGGAGCACAACAACGGGUGGAGCCUGCGGUUUAAUUGGACUCAACGCCGGACAACUCACCGGGGGCGACAGCAAUAUGUAGGCCAAGCUGAAGACUUUGCCUGGAUCGCUGAGAAGUGGUGCAUGG